CCUACGGGGCGCUGCAGUAGGGAAUCUUCCACAAUGGGCGAAAGCCUGAUGGAGCAACGCCGCGUGGGUGAAGAAGGUCUUCGGAUCGUAAAACCCUGUUGUUAGAGAAGAAAGUGCGUGAGAGUAACUGUUCACGUUUCGACGGUAUCUAACCAGAAAGCCACGGCUAACUACGUGCCAGCAGCCGCGGUAAUACGUAGGUGGCAAGCGUUAUCCGGAUUUAUUGGGCGUAAAGGUAACGCAGGCGGUCUUUUAAGUCUGAUGUGAAAGCCUUCGGCUUAACCGGAGUAGUGCAUUGGAAACUGGGAGACUUGAGUGCAGAAGAGGAGAGUGGAACUCCAUGUGUAGCGGUGAAAUGCGUAGAUAUAUGGAAGAACACCAGUGGCGAAAGCGGCUCUCUGGGCUGUAACUGACGCUGAGGUUCGAAAGCGUGGGUAGCAAACAGGAGUAGAUACCCUAGUAGUC
Molecule: ribosomal RNA, 465 nt
Filed under: uncultured bacterium
Lineage: Bacteria
Description: partial 16S ribosomal RNA
Rfam family: Bacterial small subunit ribosomal RNA
Source: RNAcentral